UACAGAGGGUGCAAGCGUUGCUCGGAAUUAUUGGGCGUAAAGGGUAGGUAGGUGGUCUCAUUUGUCGGGGGUGAAAGCCUUGGGCUUAACCCAAGAAGUGCCUUCGAAACGGUGAGACUGGAGUCCUGGAGAGGGUCGUGGAAUUCCCGGUGUAGCGGUGAAAUGCGUAGAGAUCGGGAGGAACACCAGAGGCGAAGGCGGCGACCUGGACAGGUACUGACACUCAACUACGAAAGCGUGGGGAGCAAGCAGG
This 253-nucleotide ribosomal RNA is filed under the name uncultured bacterium. RNAcentral's name for it is "partial 16S ribosomal RNA". It matches the Rfam family "Bacterial small subunit ribosomal RNA", at positions 524 to 776 of the family's 1533-position model. The record is from RNAcentral.